Molecule: ribosomal RNA, 720 nt
Filed under: uncultured Bacilli bacterium
Lineage: Bacteria; Bacillati; Bacillota; Bacilli
Description: bacterial SSU rRNA
Rfam family: Bacterial small subunit ribosomal RNA
Source: RNAcentral
GACGAACGCUGGCGGCGUGCCUAAUACAUGCAAGUCGAACGCUUCUUUUUCCACCGGAGCUUGCUCCACCGGAAAAAGAGGAGUGGCGAACGGGUGAGUAACACGUGGGUAACCUGCCCAUCAGAAGGGGAUAACACUUGGAAACAGGUGCUAAUACCGCAUAACAAUCGAAACCGCAUGGUUUUGAUUUGAAAGGCGCUUUCGGGUGUCGCUGAUGGAUGGACCCGCGGUGCAUUAGCUAGUUGGUGAGGUAACGGCUCACCAAGGCCACGAUGCAUAGCCGACCUGAGAGGGUGAUCGGCCACAUUGGGACUGAGACACGGCCCAAACUCCUACGGGAGGCAGCAGUAGGGAAUCUUCGGCAAUGGACGAAAGUCUGACCGAGCAACGCCGCGUGAGUGAAGAAGGUUUUCGGAUCGUAAAACUCUGUUAUUAGAGAAGAACAAGGAUGAGAGUAACUGUUCAUCCCUUGACGGUAUCUAACCAGAAAGCCACGGCUAACUACGUGCCAGCAGCCGCGGUAAUACGUAGGUGGCAAGCGUUGUCCGGAUUUAUUGGGCGUAAAGCGAGCGCAGGCGGUUUCUUAAGUCUGAUGUGAAAGCCCCCGGCUCAACCGGGGAGGGUCAUUGGAAACUGGGAGACUUGAGUGCAGAAGAGGAGAGUGGAAUUCCAUGUGUAGCGGUGAAAUGCGUAGAUAUAUGGAGGAACACCAGUGGCGAA